CCCGCUGAACUUAAGCAUAUCAAUAAGCGGAGGAAAAGAAACCAACAGGGAUUGCCUUAGUAACUGCGAGUGAAGCGGCAAAAGCUCAAAUUUGAAAACCGGCAACACCAGCCGGCAGUGUAAUUUGAAGGGACAUCUUCGGAGCUGGCGCCGUCUUAAGUUCUUUGGAACCGGACAUCAUAGAGGGUGAGAAUCCCGUGCCUGGGUGGCUGUCCUGCUCCGUGUGAAGUGUCUCCGACGAGUCGAGUUGUUUGGGAAUGCAGCUCAAAAUGGGUGGUAAAUUUCAUCUAAAGCUAAAUAUUGGCGAGAGACCGAUAGCGCACAAGUAGAGUGAUCGAAAGAUGAAAAGCACUUUGAAAAGAGAGUUAAAUAGUACGUGAAAUUGUUGAAAGGGAAGCGCUUGAGACUAGAUUCAGCCGGCGGUGAUCAGCUAUGCUUCUGCGUGGUGCACUUGCCGUCGGUUGAGCCAGCAUCGGUUUUGAUGGCGGGAUAAAGGUUUGAGGAAUGUGGCUCCCCGUUUCUGGGGAGUGUUAUAGCCUCGAGCGUAAUGCCGCCUGUUGGGACCGAGGACCGCGCUUCGGCUAGGAUGCUGGCGAAAAGGUCUUAAGCGGCCCGUCUUGAAACACGG
Molecule: ribosomal RNA, 628 nt
Filed under: uncultured fungus
Lineage: Eukaryota; Fungi
Description: eukaryotic LSU rRNA
Rfam family: Eukaryotic large subunit ribosomal RNA
Source: RNAcentral